CGACCUGCACGAAUGGCGUAAUGAUGGCCAGGCUGUCUCCACCCGAGACUCAGUGAAAUUGAACUCGCUGUGAAGAUGCAGUGUACCCGCGGCAAGACGGAAAGACCCCGUGAACCUUUACUAUAGCUUGACACUGAACAUUGAGCCUUGAUGUGUAGGAUAGGUGGGAGGCUUUGAAGUGUGGACGCCAGUCUGCAUGGAGCCGACCUUGAAAUACCACCCUUUAAUGUUUGAUGUUCUAACGUUGACCCGUAAUCCGGGUUGCGGACAGUGUCUGGUGGGUAGUUUGACUGGGGCGGUCUCCUCCUAAAGAGUAACGGAGGAGCACGAAGGUUGGCUAAUCCUGGUC
This 349-nucleotide ribosomal RNA is filed under the name Escherichia coli. RNAcentral describes it as "partial 23S ribosomal RNA". It matches the Rfam family "Bacterial large subunit ribosomal RNA", at positions 1984 to 2332 of the family's 2925-position model. The record is from RNAcentral. Lineage: Bacteria; Pseudomonadati; Pseudomonadota; Gammaproteobacteria; Enterobacterales; Enterobacteriaceae.